Molecule: long non-coding RNA, 363 nt
Organism: Salvelinus sp. IW2-2015
Lineage: Eukaryota; Metazoa; Chordata; Actinopteri; Salmoniformes; Salmonidae
Source: RefSeq, a predicted model, not a curated record
UCCUCCACUUCCUGGUAGUGGCCAGUUUCCUGUGGAUGCUGCUGGAGGCGCUCCAGCUCUACCUGCUGGUCCAGAGACUCUCUAGGAUCCAGGUCAUCCAGAGGGAAGGCCUCCAGAAGAAUACCUCUUCUGAUUGGCUAUCGGCAUCCCCUGGUGAUCGUCGGUGUGUCUGCAGCUGUGAAACGUGACGGCUUAUGGGGGAUCUAAAGUAUGCUGGCUGAAGCCAGAACAAUACUUUACCUGGGCUGUGUUAGGGCCAGUGUGUACUGUCCUAGCACUGAACUGGAUAUUGUUCUGCGUUACUAUCUGGAGUUUUGAGACCACCUUGGCUAACAUGAAGAGUGAUGUCUCACAGUCCAAAGA